Molecule: ribosomal RNA, 322 nt
Filed under: uncultured bacterium
Lineage: Bacteria
Description: bacterial SSU rRNA
Rfam family: Bacterial small subunit ribosomal RNA
Source: RNAcentral
GAUGAACGCUGGCGGCAUGCCUAACACAUGCAAGUCGAGCGAAGCACCUUACUUGAUUUCUUCGGGAUGAAAGUAUUGUGACUGAGCGGCGACGGGUGAGUACGCGUGGAUAACCUGCCUCAUACAGGGGGACAACAGCUGGAAACGGCUGCUAAUACCGCAUAAUAUAUACAGGUCGCAUGAUUUGUAUAUCAAAGAUUUAUCGCUGAAAGAUGGACUCGCGUCUGAUUAGCUAGUUGGCGGGGUAACGGCCCACCAAGGCGACGAUCAGUAGCCGGACUGAGAGGUUGAACGGCCACAUUGGGACUGAGAUACGGCCCAG